GAAAACUCCGGUGGUUGAAGAUGGGCAUGCGUUGUAUUAGCUGGAUGGUGAGGUAACGGCUCACCAUGGCGAUGAUACAUAGGGGGACUGAGAGGUUUUCCCCCCACACUGGUACUGAGACACGGACCAGACUCCUACGGGAGGCAGCAGUGAGGAAUAUUGGUCAAUGGACGCAAGUCUGAACCAGCCAUGCCGCGUGCAGGAAGAAGGUGCUAUGCAUUGUAAACUGCUUUUAUACGGGGGUAAUUACAGAUACGUGUAUCUGGAUGAAAGUACCGUAUGAAUAAGGAUCGGCUAACUCCGUGCCAGCAGCCGCGGUAAUACGGAGGAUCCGAGCGUUAUCCGGAUUUAUUGGGUUUAAAGGGUGCGUAGGCGGUCAGGUAAGUUAGAGGUGAAAGCUCGAUGCUCAACAUCGAAACUGCCUCUGAUACUGUCUGACUAGAGUGUAGUUGCGGAAGGCGGAAUGUGUGGUGUAGCGGUGAAAUGCUUAGAUAUCACACAGAACACCGAUUGCGAAGGCAGCUUUCCAAGCUAUUACUGACGCUGAGGCACGAAAGCGUGGGGAGCGAACAGGAUUAGAUACCCUGGUAGUCCACGCAGUAAACGAUGAUAACUCGUUGCCGGCGAUACACAGUC
This 636-nucleotide ribosomal RNA is filed under the name uncultured bacterium. Its description in RNAcentral is "bacterial SSU rRNA". It matches the Rfam family "Bacterial small subunit ribosomal RNA", at positions 202 to 838 of the family's 1533-position model. The record is from RNAcentral.